This 905-nucleotide unclassified non-coding RNA is filed under the name Drosophila ananassae. Its description in RNAcentral is "GF20931". The record is from RNAcentral. Lineage: Eukaryota; Metazoa; Arthropoda; Insecta; Diptera; Drosophilidae.
CGAGAAAACGCAAAGAGAAAGAAAGAAAAAAUGAAGCGAACUCGUCGACCUAAUACUGCUGGAAACAAGCAAUUCGUAUCCGGAGGCGUUUACCGCACAAAAAUGAUAAUGUGUGUAUUCAGCCCAAUUGUGAAUCCAUUUGCAGUAGCCACUAUAAGCGGGUUAAUCGAAAGUGCAGACCGUUGUCCGACACCCGACAGCAUUCCCCCCCCCACCCUUUUCACUUAACAUCGUCAACCCCAUUUCGCCAUCAACGCCGCAUACAGAACUACUAAUUAAUUAUCUCAUUUAAUCCGCUGAACGCGUUUUCGAACAACUAAAAAAAUGGCCAGCACACGAAUAAUUAUUCGUUUGAAGCUGGACUUGCGAUUUCCCCCAACUUAAAUGGCUACUGAAAAUGCAUUCACCCGAAAUUGUAACUAAAAUUAUUAGUUUUGCGUCAGAUAGCAAUGCCCAUUCUCUCCACCGAAAGUGUCUCCGAACCGAGACGCCGGCUAUAGAUACAGGCCAAGGACCCAAAGAUCCCACCGGUGCUCCCCGUUGCUAGCGAGGGGUAUCUGGACUGGCGGAUCUCGAGGUCCUCGGCCGGGGGCGACUGAUCCACCGUUGCUGGGCACGUGGUUCGGACUCCGCCGGCUCUCAGCUACGGUUCGGUGCACUCGGGUCGCAGGAAUGGCCAUGGCUAGUUCCUGAACUAUGGUUUUUAGUAGAUUAACCAGCCAACCAGACAGCUUGACAGCCCCUGACGCUUCCGUGUAUGAUGAGACUCGAUGGGUUCCGUUGGCACAGCAACUAUUUUUUUUUUUUUUUGUAAUAUAUAUCCAUUAUAUGGAUUGCAUAUAUUAGACAAAGCAAGGCCCCUUCAGGGGGCUCUCACCCAUUCGACUAAUUAAAUCAUUUUGCAA